CAGCAAUGGAGCAAUCUGUUGCUGCCACUGGCGCACGGGUGAGUAACGCGUAGGUAACCUGCCCUCAGCCCUGCAAUAACCCCGGGAAACUGGGGCUAAUGGCAGAUGAGGUCGGUGGGGGAAGUUCCCACCGAUCAAAGGGGCAACCCGGCUGAGGAUGGGCCUGCGUCCUAUCAGGUAGUUGGUGGGGUAACGGCCCACCAAGCCGACGACGGGUAGCUGGCCUGAGAGGGUGGUCAGCCACACCGGCACUGAGACACGGGCCGGACUCCUACGGGAGGCAGCAGUGGGGAAUCUUGCACAAUGGGCGAAGAGCCUGAUGCAGCGACGCCGCGUGCGGGAAGAAGGGGCGUAUGCCCUGUAAACCGCUGUCGGGGGGGAGGAAAGGGGGAGCAUGCUCCCCUGGGACAGUACCCCCAGAGGAAGGGCCGGCUAACUACGUGCCAGCAGCCGCGGUAAAACGUAGGGCCCGGGCGUUGUCCGGAAUCACUGGGUGUAAAGGGUGCGUAGGCGGGCGUGCGCGUCUGGGGUGAAAGGCUCCGGCUCAACCGGAGACAUGCCCUGGGUACGGCACGUCUUGGGUGCGGGAGAGGGCGAUGGAAUUCCUGGUGUAGCGGUGAAAUGCGUAGAUA
RNAcentral lists this ribosomal RNA (632 nucleotides) under uncultured bacterium. Its description in RNAcentral is "bacterial SSU rRNA". It matches the Rfam family "Bacterial small subunit ribosomal RNA", at positions 69 to 696 of the family's 1533-position model. The record is from RNAcentral.